CCUACGGGAUGCAGCAGUAGGGAAUCUUCCACAAUGGGCGAAAGCCUGAUGGAGCAACGCCGCGUGGGUGAAGAAGGUCUUCGGAUCGUAAAACCCUGUUGUUAGAGAAGAAAGUGCGUGAGAGUAACUGUUCACGUGUCGACGGUAUCUAACCAGAAAGCCACGGCUAACUACGUGCCAGCAGCCGCGGUAAUACGUAGGUGGCAAGCGUUAUCCGGAUUUAUUGGGCGUAAAGGGAACGCAGGCGGUCUUUUAAGUCUGAUGUGAAAGCCUUCGGCUUAACCGGAGUAGUGCAUUGGAAACUGGGAGACUUGAGUGCAGAAGAGGAGAGUGGAACUCCAUGUGUAGCGGUGAAAUGCGUAGAUAUAUGGAAGAACACCAGUGGCGAAAGCGGCUCUCUGGUCUGUAACUGACGCUGAGGUUCGAAAGCGUGGGUAGCAAACAGGAUUAGAUACCCCAGUAGUC
This 465-nucleotide ribosomal RNA is filed under the name uncultured bacterium. RNAcentral's name for it is "partial 16S ribosomal RNA". It matches the Rfam family "Bacterial small subunit ribosomal RNA", at positions 338 to 795 of the family's 1533-position model. The record is from RNAcentral.